RNAcentral lists this ribosomal RNA (548 nucleotides) under uncultured Glomeromycotina. RNAcentral's name for it is "SSU rRNA". It matches the Rfam family "Eukaryotic small subunit ribosomal RNA", at positions 548 to 1098 of the family's 1831-position model. Lineage: Eukaryota; Fungi; Glomeromycota. The record is from RNAcentral.
UUGGAGGGCAAGUCUGGUGCCAGCAGCCGCGGUAAUUCCAGCUCCAAUAGCGUAUAUUAAAGUUGUUGCAGUUAAAAAGCUCGUAGUUGAAUUUCGGGGUUAGCAGGUCGGUCGUGCCAAUGGUAUGCACUGGCUCGCUGACUCCUCCUUCUUGUAGAACCGUAAUGCCAUUAAUUUGGUGUUGCGGGGAAACAGGACUGUUACUUUGAAAAAAUUAGAGUGUUUAAAGCAGGCUAGCGCCUGAAUACAUUAGCAUGGAAUAAUGAAAUAGGACGUUCGAACCUAUUUUGUUGGUUUCUAGGAUUGACGUAAUGAUUAAUAGGGAUAGUUGGGGGCAUUAGUAUUCAAUUGUCAGAGGUGAAAUUCUUGGAUUUAUUGAAGACUGACUACUGCGAAAGCAUUUGCCAAGGAUGUUUUCAUUAAUCAAGAACGAAAGUUAGGGGAUCGAAGACGAUCAGAUACCGUCGUAGUCUUAACCAUAAACUAUGCCGACUAGGGAUCGGAUGAUGUUAAUUUUUUAAUGACUCAUUCGGCGCCUUACGGGAAAC